RNAcentral lists this ribosomal RNA (301 nucleotides) under uncultured bacterium. Its description in RNAcentral is "partial 16S ribosomal RNA". It matches the Rfam family "Bacterial small subunit ribosomal RNA", at positions 509 to 807 of the family's 1533-position model. The record is from RNAcentral.
CAGUCGCCGCGGGAAUACGUAGGUGGCAAGCGUUGUCCGGAAUUAUUGGGCGUAGAGGGCUCGCAGGCGGUUUCUUAAGUCUGAUGUGAAAGCCCCCGGCUCAACCGGGGAGGGUCAUUGGAAACUGGGAAACUUGAGUGCAGAAGAGGAGAGUGGAAUUCCACGUGUAGCGGUGAAAUGCGUAGAGAUGUGGAGGAACACCAGUGGCGAAGGCGACUCUCUGGUCUGUAACUGACGCUGAGGAGCGAAAGCGUGGGGAGCGAACAGGAUUAGAUACCCCCGUAGUCCCUGUCUCUUAUAC